This 544-nucleotide long non-coding RNA is filed under the name Mytilus galloprovincialis (Mediterranean mussel). Lineage: Eukaryota; Metazoa; Mollusca; Bivalvia; Mytilida; Mytilidae. The record is from RNAcentral.
CGGCCAUUGGCUGAAGAGAAAAUCAAAAGAAAACUACGCGAGACAGCGUUUCAUUCAUGAAUAUUUCAUGAAUGAACAUUUUCCUACACUAUUUUUUACUAUGUACGAUAUUUACAACUGUUUAUUAUUGAAUAAGUAAAAGCCAGAGUGUAUCGAAAGAGUCCGGUAUGUGAGAACAAGUUGAUAUUUGACCAAGUUGUCGGAUAAUUGACAAGUGAUAAUGGUUUGAAUUAUUUUAACAAUACACAGGUAAUAGAAUAUAAAAUAAUCGAUAAUUAUAUGGCUUAUGUCUCACGCCAAGGACUAGUAAAGGUAAAUACCGGCUUUAAUAGAAAAGUGCAUUGUUUUUGUCAAACUGACAUAGAUGUGAAAGUUUUGAUGCCAAAAAUCAUUUGAAAACUUUUAUUCCGUUAUUUAAAUACUAACUGUUUCACAUUCCAAUGUGGAUAUAAGGACCUUCACUCGUUCAGCAUGCUCAAGUGGAACAAACUGACAACAGAAAAACAUUGUGUAAUGACAAUUAGUAUCAUAGCAUCCGUAUAAU